Long non-coding RNA from Oreochromis aureus, 1661 nucleotides. The record is from Ensembl. Lineage: Eukaryota; Metazoa; Chordata; Actinopteri; Cichliformes; Cichlidae.
CUAAUGGGUCUUUUGUGUUUGUAGAAAAUGUUUCAGAUUUUUGAGUUCAGCUCAUUGAAAAUGGGAGCAAAAAUAAAAGUGUUGUGUUUAUAUUUUUGUUCAGUGUAGUUUAUAAAGAUCCUGCUUACAAGCAAGUGGUGAGACUGAGAAUGGAGAAAAACAACAAUCAGGAUCUGAAUGACCCUGCAGUGAUGGCAGCCAUGCUGGAACAGAUGUUGCUGGUGAUUAAUUUUUUUUCACACAACACCAGAACGACUGCCGAUGUCCGUAAGCUUCGGUUGACUUCUAGCUCGCCCUACAAAAGAGGAGCAAGAAUAAAGGGAGCUUCUAAGUUAUUUAAAGGCUGCAUGAAAAUCCUCUGCAGCUUAGUGCAGAACAAACAGUUCAAACAGAAGCUGAAGAAUAACGGCGUAAAAGGAGACAUCAAACUGAGCUGGAGGAAGCAGUCAGACGGGGAGGUCUUCCACAGCGAUGAAAAGGAAACAAAGAAGAACACAGCCUGUAAAAAUUAGUUUUGCAGGUUGUGUUCAUGUAUUGUUUGGUGUGGGUGGUUCUUUUGUUUUUGUUUUUUUUGUAGAGCACAAUAUAGUAAUAAACGUGUUUGUGUUCUAGUUUUACUGUUAUUCUGCAUUUAGGAGUUUGAUUUUCUCGUGUAUUUCUGGAUUCAUCUUUUGAUAUCUUUAUUCUGGUAGACUGUAGUAGUAAAGUUUACAGUAGUAAACUUUGAUUAUUAGGACAUCACUCAGACUUUUAGUUUUAUUUUCAUGUUAUGGUUAUUGAUGAGUUUAGUUCCUGUGUUCUGGUUUAUGUCUGUUAGUAGGAGUUCUUAGUUUCUUUCAUGUAUCUGUGACUGUUCCUCUUGUGUCUGUGUAAAUAUCUCAGCACUUCGGUGUUCUCUACUCAGGCAUCUUAUCGAGGCCACGUCCACACUAAUACGUUUUCAUUUGAAAACGUAUCUUUUUCUCUCCGUUUUGGCCUUCCGUCCACACUGACACGCGUUUUUGGACUAGGAAAACGGAGCUUUUUGAAAACGCUCUCCAAAGUGGAUACAUUUGAAAACUGCGUUUUUGCGUCGCAGUGUGAAAAGCGAAAACGGAGGCUUUCGGAAAUGAAGACGCAACUUUGUACUUUUGUGUUACUCACAGCAAUAACUCCACCUAAUUAUCAGUCCAUUUUUUAAAAAGUGCUUUUCCUUGACAUUUUACUGCGAUGUUUCAAAGUCGUGGCAAAAUAAACAUCGGACUGAAAUGACGCAGGUCAAAUCGUCUUACGUUUCACACAUGCGCAGUACAGGAAGGUAGCGUUUUCAGUCGUUUCCGUGUGGUUGAACAGCUGUUCGGAAACGACUGAAAACGAUAGAGUGGACGCGUUUUCAGACAAAAAUGCCGUUUUCAAAUGUAUCCAGAUGAGUGAGGAUGUAGCCUAAGUGUUAGUAUUCAGUCUGUGUUACUUCUCUUGUUUAUUUCCUGUUUACAAUUGAUUUUUUUUUUCAUGUUUCAUGUUAGUUUUACUUCCUGCUGUUUGGUUAGUCUGACUGUAUUCAAAAUCAGCUUUACUGUCAAAAACCAUGCGUACAGGUCAUACACAGGAAUUUGAAACUGCAAAGCUUCCACAGCCCUCAGUGUACACUAAAACAAUAUAGAGAUAAAAAUAAAAUAAAG